Molecule: transfer RNA, 65 nt
Filed under: Concaveplana rufolineata
Lineage: Eukaryota; Metazoa; Arthropoda; Insecta; Hemiptera; Cicadellidae
Description: tRNA-Phe
Source: RNAcentral
AUUUUAAUAGCUUAAAUAAAGCAUAAUAUUGAAGAUAUUAGGAAGAAAUAUUAUUUCUUAAAGUA